GAAUUCACUAGUGAUUUCUGGUUGAUCCUGCCAGACCCGACUGCUAUCAGAGUGGGACUAAGCCAUGCGAGUCAACGUAGCAAUGCGUGGCGAACGGCUCAGUAACACGUAGUCAACAUGCCAGGGGACGUGGAUAACCUCGGGAAACUGAGAUUAAACCGCGAUAGGUCAAGAUUUCUGGAAUGGAUCGUGUCUUAAAUCUACAUGGCCCCUGGAUUGGACUGCGGCCGAUCAGGCUGUUGGUGAGGUAAUGGCCCACCAAACCUAUAACCGGUACGGGCUCUGAGAGGAGAAGCCCGGAGAUGGGCACUGAGACAAGGGCCCAGGCCCUAUGGGGCGCAGCAGGCGCGAAACCUCUGCAAUGGGCGAAAGCCUGACAGGGUUACUCUGAGUGAUUUCCGCUAAGGAGAUCUUUUGGCAGCUCUAAAAAUGGUGCAGAAUAAGGGGUGGGCAAGUCUGGUGUCAGCCGCCGCGGUAAUACCAGCACCCCGAGUGGUCGGGACGGUUAUUGGGCCUAAAGCAUCCGUAGCCGGUUGUGCAAGUCCUCCGUUAAAUCCAGCCGCUCAACGGAUGGGCUGCGGAGGAUACUACAGGACUAGGAGGCGGGAGAGGCAAGCGGUACUUAGUGGGUAGGGGUAAAAUCCUUUGAUCCAUUGAAGACCACCAGUGGCGAAGGCGGCUUGCCAGAACGCGCUCGACGGUGAGGGAUGAAAGCUGGGGGAGCAAACCGGAUUAGAUACCCGGGUAGUCCCAGCUGUAAACGAUGCAGACUCGGUGAUGGGCUAGCCUCGUGUCAGCCCAGUGUCGCAGGGAAGCCGUUAAGUCUGUCGCCUGGGGAGUACGGUCGCAAGACUGAAACUUAAAGGAAUUGGCGGGGGAGCACCACAAGGGGUGAAGCCUGCGGUUCAAUUGGAUUCAACGCCGGAAAUCGAAUUCCCGCGGCC
RNAcentral lists this ribosomal RNA (944 nucleotides) under uncultured archaeon. RNAcentral's name for it is "bacterial SSU rRNA". It matches the Rfam family "Archaeal small subunit ribosomal RNA", at positions 1 to 940 of the family's 1478-position model. The record is from RNAcentral.